This 125-nucleotide small nucleolar RNA is filed under the name Choloepus hoffmanni (Hoffmann's two-fingered sloth). Its description in RNAcentral is "Small nucleolar RNA SNORA71 (ENSCHOG00000014304.1)". It matches the Rfam family "Small nucleolar RNA SNORA71". Rfam says of the family: The members of this family belong to the H/ACA class of snoRNAs which bind a number of proteins (including dyskerin, Gar1p and Nop10p) to form snoRNP complexes. Lineage: Eukaryota; Metazoa; Chordata; Mammalia; Pilosa; Megalonychidae. The record is from RNAcentral.
UUCUGCAUCCAAAAGUGAUCACAGGCUGCCUGUGCUCUGGUCAUUGAUAGUGCAGAGAGAGGAAUCACUGAAGGAAGCCUCGUGUUUGUAGCGUCCACCUCGUCCUUCCCUGGAGCUUUCACACA